AAGGCAGCUGGCGAGGCCGCGGCUGACGCUGAGGCACGAAAGCGUGGGGAUCAAACAGGAUUAGAUACCCUGGUAGUCCACGCAGUAAACGAUGGGGACUUGUUGUCGGCGAUAGAUAGUCGGUGACAAAGCGAAAGCGAUAAGUCCCCCACCUGGGGAGUACGAUCGCAAGGUUGAAACUCAAAGGAAUUGACGGGGGCCCGCACAAGCGGAGGAGCAUGUGGUUUAAUUCGAUGAUACGCGAGGAACCUUACCUGGACUCAAAUGUUGGAUGACCGCCCCAGAGAUGGGGUUUCCCUUCGGGGCGUCCAGCAAGGUGCUGCAUGGUUGUCGUCAGCUCGUGCCGUGAGGUGUCAGGUUAAGUCCUAUAACGAGCGCAACCCCUACGCCCAGUUGCCAGCGGGUAGAGCCGGGGACUCUGGGGGAACUGCCCACGCAAGUGGAGAGGAAGGUGGGGAUGACGUCAAAUCAGCACGGCCCUUACGUCCAGGGCGACACACGUGGACGGGCGGUGUGUACAAAGGGCAGCCACCUGGCGACAGGGAGAGAAUCUAGAAAGCCGGUCUCAGUUAGGAUCGGAGUCUGCAACCGGACUCCGUG
RNAcentral lists this ribosomal RNA (600 nucleotides) under uncultured bacterium. RNAcentral describes it as "bacterial SSU rRNA". It matches the Rfam family "Bacterial small subunit ribosomal RNA", at positions 718 to 1322 of the family's 1533-position model. The record is from RNAcentral.